UUCACGCAAUAUGUAUCUUCAUAUGCCUUAUCCUCCCAAUCCUCUUCGAUCUGUAAAUGUCGAUCUGGCGAUUGAAUCUAACUACAAGCCAGCACCAGUGCCCUCCCUCUCCCCUUCCUAUGCCGCCUCCCUCACAACCUAGGCAAGGCUUGAUGUGCUGAAGCUACAUGGGAUGUAGUGCCCCUCAUGAGAUUAUCCCGGCAGAGUCUGAGCUACGGCUCGACGGCCAUGGUCGACCCACCGUGGCUGCCGCCGUGCCGCCUGUGUCCACAUGCGAGGCUGUGAGGGUAUUGCAAGGUGUACCGAUUGUGCUCUAAACUAGAUGGUGCAGCUGUCGUAUGUGGUGUGUUGACAAUUCAAGAACCUACUAGAAGACUGGUGGCACAGUGAUUUACAUCUCCGAAGUCACCAAGUUCAUCCUCGGUUGUCUAGAUCCACUAAAUUCGGUGCAUACCCUGCUUGAUUUUUCUGUAGCACUAACACUAAAGAUCUCUUAUUUUUCUUAUAAGUACACCACAGUACCACAUGCAAAGCCAAGACGCUGAUUGCAAGGACGCUGGAUCAUAUAGAUGAUUCUCAGGUGGUGGUUCGGACAACCUGCCGGUGUAGAAGGUGUGAAGAGCUAGGAUAUGUUGUCUUUCCAGGUCCCAACAUUGACCCGAGCCUGUUCUGCCAUGCCAAGUUGGCCGGAUCAAGCUUGCUAUGUCUCUCGUGUCAGCUAACCGGUUGUGCGCACUGACACAACAGAACGGCCAUCAGCGGCAACGCAUGCAGAUUGAAGAGGGGAAGCAGGACUUCAGGAUAUGGAAAUUGCAAGCAUGUUGUAGAUGGAGAGAGGGACAACGGACGGGACUACAGAAUUUGCAAGCAUGCUGUACAUGGAGAGAGGGACAACUGAUGGAUGAGAAUACAAAGCGAUAGAUGCAUACGUCGAUACGUGCUUUUGAGAUUGGAUCUUAAUUAAUUAAUCCUAUGCAACUAACUUGUUGCUUCAGGCUUAAUUCCUUUCAGGGCUGGGACUGAAUCAUACCUUUGUUGCAGUUAAGCUAUACGUUCAUCUUUCCCAAAGGAACCAAUGAUUCCCUUACUAUUUUUCUUACCAAACGUUUUGAUGCUCUUUGA
Triticum aestivum (bread wheat) is the source of this 1122-nucleotide long non-coding RNA. RefSeq lists it as uncharacterized. The record is from RefSeq and is a predicted model, not a curated record. The transcript has 3 exons. Lineage: Eukaryota; Viridiplantae; Streptophyta; Magnoliopsida; Poales; Poaceae.